RNAcentral lists this long non-coding RNA (489 nucleotides) under Brassica napus (rape). RNAcentral describes it as "long non-coding RNA (BNAP_LNC026890)". Lineage: Eukaryota; Viridiplantae; Streptophyta; Magnoliopsida; Brassicales; Brassicaceae. The record is from RNAcentral.
GGUUUGAACCGAGACCAACAGUCGAAAUCAAAACUGGAAGAAACCGCCGGUCCAAAUCGAAUCGGUCAAGUCACGGAGUGAGAACAAACGAGCUGCUCACACAGUCGAGGAAUUGAGUGGGAUCAUAAACCUGGAACGAUUGUCUUGCAAACCCUACUUCCAAAUUCGCUGAGUCGGCUACGCUACUCACCAGCGAACUGGGGAGACUUACUGUUGGGUAUGGGCUUGGCCCUCCCAAAAGGCCCACAAGACAAUUAUCCAGACACAUGAUCACAACAAAGAAAUUCGGCUUGUCGACUUGCGAGCCGGUGAUCGGCUCGGCUUUAGACUGCUUUUGAUCAGCGAGACGACCAACUGAAAGUCGUCGGCUCGAUGACUCGAGUCAGCGGCCCGACACCUCGGCCCAACCGCUCGAGGAGGCCCAUCAGGACAUAGCACAUUAGAGCAUGUGUCUAUAAAAGGAGGAGAAAAUGCAACAAAGAGGGAAUC